This 490-nucleotide ribosomal RNA is filed under the name uncultured bacterium. Its description in RNAcentral is "partial 16S ribosomal RNA". It matches the Rfam family "Bacterial small subunit ribosomal RNA", at positions 30 to 507 of the family's 1533-position model. The record is from RNAcentral.
AUUGAACGCUGGCGGCAGGCCUAACACAUGCAAGUCGAACGGUAACAGGAAGCAGCUUGCUGCUUUGCUGACGAGUGGCGGACGGGUGAGUAAUGUCUGGGAAACUUCCUGAUGGAGGGGGAUAACUACUGGAAACGGUAGCUAAUACCGCAUAAUGUCGCAAGCCCAAAGAGGGGGACCUUCGGGCCUCUUGCCAUCGGAUGUGCCCAGAUGGGAUUAGCUAGUAGGUGGGGUAAAGGCUCACCUAGGCGACGAUCCCUAGCUGGUCUGAGAGGAUGACCAGCCACACUGGAACUGAGACACGGUCCAGACUCCUACGGGAGGCAGCAGUGGGGAAUAUUGCACAAUGGGCGCAAGCCUGAUGCAGCCAUGCCGCGUGUAUGAAGAAGGCCUUCGGGUUGUAAAGUACUUUCAGCGGGGAGGAAGGGAGUAAAGUUAAUACCUUUGCUCAUUGACGUUACCCGCAGAAGAAGCACCGGCUAACUCCGUG